CCGGGCCCGCCCCCGCGG
Molecule: microRNA, 18 nt
Filed under: Sus scrofa (pig)
Lineage: Eukaryota; Metazoa; Chordata; Mammalia; Artiodactyla; Suidae
Description: ssc-mir321
Source: RNAcentral